Mangifera indica (mango) is the source of this 983-nucleotide long non-coding RNA. RefSeq lists it as uncharacterized. The transcript has 3 exons. The record is from RefSeq and is a predicted model, not a curated record. Lineage: Eukaryota; Viridiplantae; Streptophyta; Magnoliopsida; Sapindales; Anacardiaceae.
CGUGACAAUAUUCAAUUUGGAUCACUUGGGACCACGCUUACAUCUUUUAUUUUGUUCAAAUUUUAUAAUUUUUUAUUUUAUUUUAUCUUUUUCUAUCCCCUAUAUUCCAUUAAAUUUCAGUUCAAUUUGAUAAUUACCCUUCAAUCCUCUCUUCAUCCAUCUAUUUAUACCCACUCAGUGUUCUAUCCUUUAAUCAUCUUCGUCUUCAUAUUCUCUGUUGUGUUUGUAGUGUGUACACUCUAAUACAAAGGGUUGCACAUUUCUCUCGCGUGCGCCACUAUCAGAUGAAGCUGCCAGCAUGAUCUUAACCUUCCUCCUUUGCCGAGGAAAGAUCAGAUCAUGUGGCAGUUUCAUCGGUUGUUGGCAUCACGAAAAAAAAAAAAACCCUAAAUUUACAUGAAACAAACCCUCAAAGUGUUCUGUACUUUAAUUAAUUUUCUUAAACGGCCGUUAGGGUUUUUCUUGUUUAAUCCCUAGAAAAGUGAAACUUACGCAGUCUUCUGGUUUGUUGGAGUUUUGGGUGAUAAUAUUUUUGCGUCUCGGUGCACUUCGAAGAUCUAAAGAUCCCUCCUUGUGCUUCGGCGAUUGAGCUUUAACACUCAUAACCUGCAACGAUGUUUUUUGUUGGUUAAAUCGGGUAUCCAACAAUAAAAGCUACCACACUUUUGAUUCCCUUGCGCUUUCUAGGGUUUGCCUUUGUCAGCAAUCAUUCAAAAAGGAGCUCAAGUGAGCUCUGGCUGUAUAUGUUGACUGGUUGAUUGAAGCUUCAAAUAUGAGAGCUUGUUUCAUGCUAUUCAAGGAUGUUAUUGGGAAGAUCAAUAUUGGAGGGGCUCAAGUUCAAUGUAUGAGAGGGAGAUAUCAGUGAAAGUAGUCCAGUUUUGUGUUCAUUGUAUCAAAGGCAGCUGAUAUGGGAGAAUAAUUGAUGCAUAAUACUAAUUUUAAACAUUGCUUUGCUUUCCUUUUCUAAAUACUUCAAUUGUCCA